CGACUACGAGUUUGACUCCGUGGCUCAGAUUGAACGCUGGCGGCAUGCUUUACACAUGCAAGUCGAACGGUAACAGGCCUUCGGGUGCUGACGAGUGGCGAACGGGUGAGUAAUGCAGUCGGAACGUCGCCCAAUCGGUGGGGAUAACGUAGCGAAAGUUACGCUAAUACCGCAUAAGCCCUGAGGGGGAAAGCAGGGGAUCGCAAGACCUUGCGCGAAUGGAGCGGCCGAUGUCAGAUUAGCUAGUUGGUGGGGUAAAGGCCUACCAAGGCGACGAUCUGUAGCGGGUCUGAGAGGAUGAUCCGCCACACUGGGACUGAGACACGGCCCAGACUCCUACGGGAGGCAGCAGUGGGGAAUUUUGGACAAUGGGCGCAAGCCUGAUCCAGCCAUGCCGCGUGCGGGACGAAGGCCUUCGGGUUGUAAACCGCUUUCAGCCGGAAAGAAAUCGCCAAGGCUAAUAUCCUUGGUGGAUGACGGUACCGGAAGAAGAAGCACCGGCUAACUACGUG
This 512-nucleotide ribosomal RNA is filed under the name uncultured bacterium. RNAcentral describes it as "bacterial SSU rRNA". It matches the Rfam family "Bacterial small subunit ribosomal RNA", at positions 1 to 507 of the family's 1533-position model. The record is from RNAcentral.